UCCACCACCAUUUAUCCCCCCAUAUCCCUCCCUGCCCUCGAAAUCACUGCACUGUUGUCCAUGUCCAUGAAGGUUUCCCAUUAUAAUGAAUAAAAUCAGAUCUUACAAUUACAUACCUCAUAUCUAAGGAAAGUAAACAUAGAUUGCACAUAUUUCUCAAGAACCCAUGUUUCUUUUUAUAAAUAAGAAGUAUCUGAGUCCUGUGGCUUUUUAAGGGUUCUUUCUUCAUCUUUAGCAUGCUAAAAUUAAAGUGAUUUUCAAGGGAAUUUUCAAGGGUUGCAAAAAUGUACAUAAAAGCAUCAGUACUGUGUUAGGAUAAAGGUGGCUUGGGAAGCAAUUGUGUAUCUCUGUCUUAAAAAAAAUUUAAUGCCUACUACUCAGAUAACAAUGUCAAGAGAAGAUUGCCAACCAGUUGGAAUAUAGGCUUGAGUUAUGCACCACUCAAAUAAGCCGCCAAAGUAAGGCUACAGAGUCAUUCCUGGAGAUUGUAGGGAAGAAUUUCAACAGCACCAUCUGUUAGAACCACAACCUGAAAAUAUUACCCUGGCCAAUUAUCACUCCAAAACACCGUGGAGUUCAAUCCACCUAUGUUGAAACAACUUGGCUAUAAUCCACUGUCAUAUUCUGGCUGUAGCUUUGUACCCCAUGGCCUCAAGUCAAGCCCAUUCCGUCUUGAGAUACCAGAUACCAAGAGGGUGCAAUUAUGUGUCUUCCCAUGGGUAAUCCCUCGAGUCUUCCAACUGGAAGAGCCUUGAGGCCCUCCUUCUCAGGCUCUUUCCUUGUAGGACUCCAGCUUUCACAUAAAUCCUUCUCAUCUCUCCAGUCCAGGAGUCCUCCACACAUGCCACCCACUCAGUGACUGAGGCAGGCCAGCAACCACCCCACCCGCCCACCCAUGCCCUGGCUUCUGAGCCAUCCCUGGCAAGGGGCACAAGCAUAGAUGCUUACAGAUGCCCAGCAGAUUACAUAAACAAGUGGAAGGCAGGCCAGACAUAUCAAAAAUAUGCAGAUGGUUGAGAGCCAGCAAACACAGGCCCCAUCUGAAAGGGACAGUCACUGCUCAGCCCCAGGAAGUUGUCAAUAUGCAGGAAUGCAGGGUGGGUGUUGCCAAAUGAUCUAAUUAUUCAAAUAUAUAUAAAGUCAACUAAUUUGCAAAUGCUGACCCUUUUUUUUUCUUAAACUGUUUGGGACAAACAAAACAUUAUAAUUUAGUCUUUUUACAGUAGUCAAAUUGUCUUUAUUCAGGUUUAGGAUUCUGUAGCUCUAAAAUGACCUAAAUAGACUUCUUAAUGACUGACCUCAAAAAGAUUCCUAUUCUGUUUCCUCUUCUUAGAACCUUUUUAGAGCUUCAGUCAAUGCAGGCAAUUGUUUGAGGGCAUUAGACUAGAUACAGGUGGAAUGCCAAAGAAUUCCCAUGUACACCUGCUAUCGUUUACAGUUAAUUAAACUCUGUAACAGGCAGAUAAAAAGGCCUCAGUUGCUAUUGCCAAUCUCACACAGCUGUGUGGGUGCUCAGCCAUUCUUGGCAUUAUUCUCUGGAAACUACUCUAGCUUUCUGUAUCACCCAGAAGUAAAAGAAAGAAACUCUGUUUCUGGUAGUAGAGCAUAGUCUCUAAGCUCUGCCUGGCUCAGCCUUUGUGGCAAAGAUCAUGAGUUGCUUACCAAAUACCCACUCUCUCCUUCUUCCUUAGUAAAAGAAUCCAAAUAUUCUUAGCUACACAUAUUGCUGCUUGGCAAGAGAGAUAAUUUACCAGCCUCUCUUGCAGCUAAGUAAGGUCAAGUGACUGAAUUCUGUCCUAUGAGAUGCAAGAGGAAGUACUGUAUGAGCUUCUGGGAAAGAAAGGACUACCUGUUGGCUGGAAUGGGGAGUUGCUAUGUAGAACUCGGGCAGUUAUCCUGGGUCUUGAAUUGACCUUGAGAGUGAAAGCUAUGUGUUUAGAAAACAGGUAACAGAAAUGGAAGCGUUAUGUUGAGCACCUGAAACUGAUAUUAUAUGCCAACUGUAAUUAAAAAAUAAAGAAAUACAUUUU
Long non-coding RNA from Phyllostomus discolor (pale spear-nosed bat), 2030 nucleotides. RefSeq lists it as uncharacterized. Lineage: Eukaryota; Metazoa; Chordata; Mammalia; Chiroptera; Phyllostomidae. The record is from RefSeq and is a predicted model, not a curated record. The transcript has 2 exons.